RNAcentral lists this long non-coding RNA (4178 nucleotides) under Heterocephalus glaber (naked mole-rat). RNAcentral describes it as "lncRNA (ENSHGLG00100046033.1)". Lineage: Eukaryota; Metazoa; Chordata; Mammalia; Rodentia; Bathyergidae. The record is from RNAcentral.
CCUUAGGAAAAACACAGAGCUUUAAAAGUCUAUAUGGAGAGCUGAAAGAAAAUAUCCCAGUAAAAGUGAUCAAAUACUAAUAUGAAUAGCAAGGCUUUAGUAACUCACACAAUUCUGGUAUCACCCAUGUAAAAUUCUCAUCAAUAUUCACCCAAGUAUUCUUUCUCCUACACAGGGAAAGAAAGAAAUAAAAGAGGGACAAUUUCUGAAUCACUCCUUCCAAAGACGGAAAUGAUUUUAAUUACCAAUUCAUCUGUUGGCAGACUCUUCUGGCAGAUGUACCUGCAACUUGGAAAGAUAACAAGUGAACCAAUUCCUUAUUCCAGUUGACACUGAUAGUGCUCACUGAAUUUGCUCUCAGCAAAGAAUUCCCGGGCAACAAUACAUCUGGCACUCUGCUCGAGGAAUUUGUCAUGUCGUUGACAUGUUCAGCCUCCAUUGUCCACACCACCCCGACAGCAGGAGUACAGAUCUGAUAGCAAGUCUAUGCUCAAAAUCUUGACAGUGGUAGCUGGAAGGGAGCAAGCAGAUAAUGAAAUGAUGGAACGUACACUGGUUCAUCAGCCUUUUAAUGGAACAGAAAUAUAGAAGGAGAGAAAUCUGUCCCAUCCUUGGUAUGUCUAAAUAUAAAUAUCUCAAAGUUACUAGACUGCAUAGUACUUUUAUAAAAUAUGAAUUGUAGUCUGUCUGAAUUGAAAGAAAAAAUUGAAAUAGGAAAAGUUACAUAACUUCCACAAGACAGUAGUUAUAUGAAGUAGACUGAUAAUUCAUGGAUACAGUCACAGAACAAGAUGUGGAAAGAUAACUUCAUUCUUUCCUGUUUCACCUCGAACAGUGAGAAAGCAGCUAUUUGCAGUCAGAAAAAGAUCCUUCAUUCAGGAAUUGAAAUGACCAGCAACUUGAUCUAAAACUUCCCAUCCUCAAGUACGGCACACUCCUGCCAUUGUGGUGCCAUCCGCUGUGACACUCUUACAGCAGGGUGACUGUGGGAGUGACUGGAUCUUCAACCUUCAGCCCCCAAAACUGUGAGCUAAAUAAACCCCUUCUCCUCAUAAAGUACCCAACCUCAGGUAUUUUUUUUUUUAAAGCAACAUAAAAUGGGCUAAUGGAGCAAUAUGAGGACAUUGGUUUACAAGCACUUAGGAAUACCUUAUAUGAAAGAGCUGCAGCCUUCAGUUUGUCUUUACAAAGGAUGGAUAUGUCUUUUCAAUUAACAGCUUGAAAAAGUCUGGAAUUAUUUCUUACCUCACAGCUGUCCUGUAAAGUAAUUUCCUUAUUUCUCUCAAGUUGAAAGAAAUGUCUACUGCUUCCUAUUAACUAGCUCAGGGAUUUUCAAAUUAGGUGAAUUUCACAAUUUGUGUGUUAACUGGGGGGAUCGGAGGUGGACUUCGUCAAUUUCCUAUGCCUAGAUUCCCCUAAGUCCACAGAAUCAGAAUUUUUAGCUGUGAUGUCCAAAUUAAGUCAGUUGAAAACCACUCCAUGUGCUUCUGAUGCAUAUCAAACUUGACAUCCAUGGGACCACAUUCUCUUUGACUGAUAAAAAUGUUCAAGCUUAGUAGCUAGGAAGAGCUUUCUGUAGGUAGUAUUAUCAUUUAAAAUGAACAGAUUUAACUUUUACAAAUGGACAUCCUUUUAAGAGGUUUGGGGCCGGUGGAUUUGAGGGGAGCUCUUAGAAUAUGUGUUGGGCUACCCUUACCUCUUCAUUGUCUGCAUUUCCCCCUCUGCCAUGGCCUGCUUGGUUUCCCAGUCUGUCUGCCCCUCUGGGUUAAAUGGAAAAAUUGACAUCUCACAUUUAAGGGAAUUUAUUGCAAAUUAAUGCAGUAGAGAUUUAUAUUUUCAUGUGAAAUAUCCUUUUAAUAGAGUAAAUAAUUGUUCCUCCCUCCAAUAUAUUUGUCUCAUUACUCUGGAUGCUCUAUAAUAGGAUUAUCUGUUAUAAACAUACACUUACAGAUCCAAAUAUAUGCACAGAUGAAAAAUAUCAAGCUUACAGGACAAGGUCAUCCCCCAAGCAUGGACACUCAAGGCCUUUUGGCUCUAUUUUCUCUAAGGAAAACUAAAGUCACAGUUGAACAAGGGAGCUUCCCUUGUCUCCUAGUUUCCACCAAGUGCUGGCUCUGACUCUGUUCUUUUGAUUUUUUUAGCGGCCUUCAGAGAAUUCUCAUGGAGGAGAGAAGGAAGUGGAUUGAAGAUGGGGUCGAGUUUCUAUCUGCUGUUUGACCCACGGAUUGCUGGAUAGACAUGACAUAUAGAAAACAGCUUGAUUCAUCCCACAGAAGUAGCAGAGAGUCCCAGGACCCAGCCUGCCCCACAGCAUCCCAGAGGGAUUUAUUCUCUUCUGAAGUUUGCAGAAGAAAUUGUUUUAUGAAUCAAUUUAAGACUAAUAAAUACAUAGAGUUCUAUUCCAAACAUAUUUUUUUUAAUUAUAAAAGAAGUACAUACCUCUUAAAAGGAUUAUGGGAGAAAGAGGAAUGUAGGAAAAAAAAUAAGACAGAAAGUACAGGUAAGAGUGCUGAUUUUAGAAUCAGGGCCAUACGGACUAGAAUCAGCCUUACUUGCUGUAUACACUUGGGUGAGUUACUUCACAUUGCUGAGUGCAUUCUUCUCAUCUGCAAAAUGGGAACAACCUCUCUGUCUGUCAUGUGGUAAGGGUUUGCUAAAGUGUAUUUUGUAAAAGCACUUAGAAAAAUUCUUGGUAUAGAAUAGUGUUACCAUAAUACAGGUGAGGUAAGUGUUUUUACUGCUGGUAGGAUAGCUACUGACUACAUCCUUUCCAGGCAAAUGGGACUGACUUUGAACCCCUUUUGGUUUGGGGGAGAAUUACUGGUAUUGGUAUUCCUAGCAUUAAGGCCACAUAAUAUUUGAAGAACUGGUUGCAAUCUCUUAAAAGUGUUAUUACCAAGAAAUAGAUUUUGGUUAUGUCUGUUUUCAUGGUACAGUAACCGAAACCCCUUAGUUUUUGUCUUAAGCUUAUAAACAUAUUUUAGUUUGUAAAAAGUGAUAAAAAAAAUACCCUGAGAAACAAUUAAAGUUCAUAGGAAAAUAAGAAAUCUUCACAGUAAUGUUUCAUUGAAUCAUCACAUUUUUUUUUCCUGAAAUACCAAUGAAGAAUGGCAGUUUUGAUAUGUAAAACAGUAGUUAGUCUUUAUGUGGAUAACACUUUUAAAAGCCUAGAAAUAUUUCACAUUUGAAGAAAAACACUUGUUUCCCGUGUUGAAUCUGAUUAAAAUUCAAAUCUAUCUUAGCAUCUCAUUACUAUUUGAAAAAAGCAACCUUCACGCUUAAGGAGAACGGCUCGGAGUCCACAGGUCCGGUGGCUGCAGGCUCUGCCUCUGGCUGUCACUGUGCUGGGACCCCAGAGGACAGGGCCACAGCUACAUCCUUGUUAAAACAGUCAUGGCGGGAAGACUGGCCCCGAGUUUCCUGCCUUUCCCCUCUCCCAUCCCGACAUUGUUUCAGCUGCCAGAUCCUCAAUAUUUUCUCUCCAGCAAGGGAAAGGGAAGGGCAAAAAUGACUUUGAAAGAAUAACAUUUCUUUCUAUGGACUUAAAUAGAACACUCAACACAAAACAUCCUGUGCUUCCUUUUCAUGGAUAACGUGCUGCUUGUCGCCGUGAGUGAACUAAAAAGCAGGGCUGGGUGUUGAGAGAGUUGGUGUUGGAGCUGCCAGCUGGGCGGUGAAGAAAACGCCCCUUGGGUAUUUUAAGGUUCGCCCUGCCCUCUCCUGUACACUCCCAUCUCCUUAUCCCGUAGUGUCUUGUCUCUUCUCCAUCGGAGUUAACACCUUUGAACAUAGUUUAGUACUUUUUUUUUUGGUUUAUUCUCCAACUGCUUAGAUUGUAAUGGCCAUAACGGGAACUCCACGAGAGUUAAUAUCUUCCUGUUUGCUGUUGGAUUACUUGUUCUAAAAAGAGUGCCCGGCAUGAAGUGGACACUAAAUAUUUGCAGGAUAAGCGAAUGAAUUAGUUUCUCCCUCAACGUCUUUUCCGGUACGAGUGGUAUCUAUAGUUCCUCAGUAUCUUUCCCUACAGGACUCUUUGGGUAUGAUUGGUACCAUGGGACAUAAAAAUAUUCUAUAAAUGUAUUUUUAUCUAGUAGAUACAUUUGAGAGUAUAGAUUUUUUUCAAGGUUUACACAAUUUAAUUGGUAAGGAAGAAAUAAAAGAGUUGGAUUAAAAAAGAA